RNAcentral lists this ribosomal RNA (253 nucleotides) under uncultured Eubacteriales bacterium. Its description in RNAcentral is "uncultured Clostridiales bacterium partial 16S ribosomal RNA". It matches the Rfam family "Bacterial small subunit ribosomal RNA", at positions 524 to 776 of the family's 1533-position model. The record is from RNAcentral. Lineage: Bacteria; Bacillati; Bacillota; Clostridia; Eubacteriales.
UACGUAGGGGGCAAGCGUUAUCCGGAUUUACUGGGUGUAAAGGGAGCGUAGACGGCAGCACAAGUCUGGAGUGAAAUCCCAUGGCUUAACCAUGGAACUGCUUUGGGAACUGUGCGGCUGGAGUGCGGGAGGGGCAGGCGGAAUUCCUGGUGUAGCGGUGAAAUGCGUAGAUAUCAGGAGGAACACCGGCGGCGAAGGCGGCCUGCUGGACCGCGACUGACGUUGAGGCUCGAAAGCGUGGGGAGCGAACAGG